GUCCCUAUCGUCUAGAGGCCUAGGACACAACCCUUUCACGGUUGGUACCGGGGUUCGAAUCCCCGUAGGGACGCCA
RNAcentral lists this transfer RNA (76 nucleotides) under Candidatus Sutterella merdavium. RNAcentral's name for it is "tRNA-Glu". It matches the Rfam family "tRNA". Rfam says of the family: Transfer RNA (tRNA) molecules are approximately 80 nucleotides in length. Their secondary structure includes four short double-helical elements and three loops (D, anti-codon, and T loops). The record is from RNAcentral. Lineage: Bacteria; Pseudomonadati; Pseudomonadota; Betaproteobacteria; Burkholderiales; Sutterellaceae.